This 331-nucleotide ribosomal RNA is filed under the name Metapenaeus brevicornis. RNAcentral's name for it is "SSU rRNA". The stretch from base 90 to 331 matches the Rfam family "Eukaryotic small subunit ribosomal RNA", at positions 749 to 958 of the family's 1831-position model. The record is from RNAcentral. Lineage: Eukaryota; Metazoa; Arthropoda; Malacostraca; Decapoda; Penaeidae.
CCGCCGGAAGCGAGUGAAAAGGGUCACUCCGGCGGGCGCUGCCUCCCGCUCCCGCUUCAUUGACGGGGCGGGCGGCCAGCAGGCCACCGCUUUUACUGUGAAAAACUCAGAGUGCUCAGAGCAGGCCUCGCGGGGGCCUUCCAUCCCCGCGGCAAGGCCCGAAUGUAAUCUCAUGGAAUAAUGGAAGACGACCUCGGCCCAGUUGUUUGUGGCGCGAUUUUAGUGGCCGCCGAGGUAAUGAUUAACAGGGACCGACGGGGGCAGUCGUACUGCGACGCGAGAGGUGAAAUUCUGAGACCGUCGCAUGACGCCCUACCGCGAAGGCAGCUGA